UGGUGUGAUGUCAAGCCAGGGGUCUAUACUUUGCUACUUUUCAGUAUGCACAUAGCUAGGCUCUUGGUUUAGGCAUGGAGCAAAAAAUUAAAUUUUUUAGCUGAGUAGUUUCCCCAAGGGCCAAAUUAUAAUUGUGAUGUAUAUAUAUAAAAUAAAAGUUGUAAUUAAAUUAUGAUUUAUGUUUAAUUCAAACAUGGAUACCAAUGGCAUUGCUACACAGUAUUUCCCAGGAGUUUAUUUACAAGAUAGGUGAUAGCAGGAAAAAUUAGGUUGAUAAUAAUGUGAGCACUAAAUCCUUAAUUUUACAUAUCAUGAGUUCAAACAGUGUGUUCUGAAAG
This 338-nucleotide long non-coding RNA is filed under the name Mytilus galloprovincialis (Mediterranean mussel). The record is from RNAcentral. Lineage: Eukaryota; Metazoa; Mollusca; Bivalvia; Mytilida; Mytilidae.